Molecule: transfer RNA, 65 nt
Filed under: Pleophylla sp. PLE01
Lineage: Eukaryota; Metazoa; Arthropoda; Insecta; Coleoptera; Scarabaeidae
Description: tRNA-Asn
Source: RNAcentral
UUAAUUGAAACCAAAAUAGAGGUAUAUCACUGUUAAUGAUAAUAAUGGGAUUUUCUCCAAUUAAG